CGCUGGCGGCAGGCUUAACACAUGCAAGUCGAGCGGGGAAGAGUAGCUUGCUACUUUACCUAGCGGCGGACGGGUGAGUAAUGCUUAGGAAUCUGCCUAUUAGUGGGGGACAACAUUUCGAAAGGAAUGCUAAUACCGCAUACGUCCUACGGGAGAAAGCAGGGGACCUUCGGGCCUUGCGCUAAUAGAUGAGCCUAAGUCGGAUUAGCUAGUUGGUGGGGUAAAGGCCUACCAAGGCGACGAUCUGUAGCGGGUCUGAGAGGAUGAUCCGCCACACUGGGACUGAGACACGGCCCAGACUCCUACGGGAGGCAGCAGUGGGGAAUAUUGGACAAUGGGGGCAACCCUGAUCCAGCCAUGCCGCGUGUGUGAAGAAGGCCUUUUGGUUGUAAAGCACUUUAAGCGAGGAGGAGGCUCCCAGUAUUAAUACUACUGGAGAGUGGACGUUACUCGCAGAAUAAGCACCGGCUAACUCUGUGCCAGCAGCCGCGGUAAUACAGAGGGUGCAAGCGUUAAUCGGAUUUACUGGGCGUAAAGCGUGCGUAGGUGGCCAAUUAAGUCAAAUGUGAAAUCCCCGAGCUUAACUUGGGAAUUGCAUUCGAUACUGGUUGGCUAGAGUAUGGGAGAGGAUGGUAGAAUUCCAGGUGUAGCGGUGAAAUGCGUAGAGAUCUGGAGGAAUACCGAUGGCGAAGGCAGCCAUCUGGCCUAAUACUGACACUGAGGUACGAAAGCAUGGGGAGCAAACAGGAUUAGAUACCCUGGUAGUCCAUGCCGUAAACGAUGUCUACUAGCCGUUGGGGUCUUUGAGACUUUAGUGGCGCAGCUAACGCGAUAAGUAGACCGCCUGGGGAGUACGGUCGCAAGACUAAAACUCAAAUGAAUUGACGGGGGCCCGCACAAGCGGUGGAGCAUGUGGUUUAAUUCGAUGCAACGCGAAGAACCUUACCUGGUCUUGACAUAGUAAGAACU
RNAcentral lists this ribosomal RNA (969 nucleotides) under Acinetobacter sp. Its description in RNAcentral is "bacterial SSU rRNA". It matches the Rfam family "Bacterial small subunit ribosomal RNA", at positions 34 to 997 of the family's 1533-position model. Lineage: Bacteria; Pseudomonadati; Pseudomonadota; Gammaproteobacteria; Moraxellales; Moraxellaceae. The record is from RNAcentral.